RNAcentral lists this ribosomal RNA (492 nucleotides) under uncultured bacterium. RNAcentral describes it as "partial 16S ribosomal RNA". It matches the Rfam family "Bacterial small subunit ribosomal RNA", at positions 29 to 507 of the family's 1533-position model. The record is from RNAcentral.
AGUGAACGCUGGCGGUAGGCCUAACACAUGCAAGUCGAACGGCAGCACAGUAAGAGCUUGCUCUUACGGGUGGCGAGUGGCGGACGGGUGAGGAAUACAUCGGAAUCUACUUUUUCGUGGGUGAUAACGUAGGGAAACUUACGCUAAUACCGCAUACGACCUACGGGUGAAAGCCGGGGAUCUUCGGACCUUGCGCGAUUGAAUGAGCCGAUGUCGGAUUAGCUAGUUGGCGGUGUAAAGGCCCACCAAGGCGACGAUCCGUAGCUGGUCUGAGAGGAUGAUCAGCCACACUGGAACUGAGACACGGUCCAGACUCCUACGGGAGGCAGCAGUGGGGAAUAUUAGACAAUGGGCGCAAGCCUGAUCCAGCAAUACCGCGUGAGUGAAGAAGGCCUUCGGGUUGUAAAGCCCUUUUGUUGGGAAAGAAAAGCAGCAGGUUAAUACCCCGCUGUUCUGACGGUACCCAAAGAAUAAGCACCGGCUAACUUCGUG